Non-coding RNA from Pelobates cultripes (western spadefoot toad), 80 nucleotides. NCBI's taxonomy places the organism in Eukaryota, Metazoa, Chordata, Amphibia, Anura, Pelobatidae. The record is from the annotation of a GenBank genome assembly.
AGAGUGCAGCCAACUAUUUCAAUUGCCUAUAUAUAUAUAUAUAUAUAUAUAUAGGCAAUUGAAAUAGUUGGCUGCACACU